Molecule: long non-coding RNA, 1055 nt
Filed under: Columba livia (rock pigeon)
Lineage: Eukaryota; Metazoa; Chordata; Aves; Columbiformes; Columbidae
Description: partial uncharacterized LOC102094557
Source: RNAcentral
AGGGGCAUCCACCACCUCUCUGGGCAACCUGGGCCAGUGUUUCACCACCCUCAGCAUAUAUCUCUGCUCUGGGGAGCUCAGCAGUUCUCCAGGCUCCAGGGAUUGACUUCAGUGAUGGGAAAGGUCCAUAUUUUCCAGGGUCUUUUACCAGCUGACACCUUUCAGACCAACAGCCACCAGAAAAGACUUGUUACACCAGCAGCUGGUGUCAGACAUGUCCAUGGGUCAAGGCAGGAGUGGGGAGGACAUGGAGAGUCCUGGCAGGACUUGCCAGGAUCAGGCCAAGUGAGGGGCACCCCACCAUGCUCAAGUGGGGCAAACAGAGACCCCGUGACAGGCUCCAGGAGCAGGGCGGGGGCAGAAGAGGAGGCAGGGAACGGAAAAGGGCUGCUCCUGUGACACGGCUGCGGAGGUGGAGCAGGAGGCAGGUCACAAACAGGCAGCACACGAGGAAGCGCUGGGACACCAGUGUGGCCAGGGUGGCUGCAGCAGCUCCAGGUGCAGCAGGACCUUCACUGGCUGGGGAAGGACCAGGAGCAGAGGCAACCAGAACUGCAGGGACCUCAUCAGGACCUGGAGAUCCUCUCGGCAGGAGUCUCCUUCCAGCCAGAAUAGCUCUUCAUUCUGCCAAGCUGGUUGGAUCCUGCCUGGUGCUUCCUUGGGAAGCCUCCCCGGUCUUCUGUGGGGGGUACCAUGGAAGUGGAAGCUUUACCAGCUUGGCACAGAUUUAACCCAAAUACCUAAUAAAAGGUUUGGAGGAAAUCCAUCCUGGGGAAGAAAAUUGCAGCACUUCACCAGCUUCAUUUGAUGAACUGGGGUUUAAUCAAACCCCAGAGUCUCCAGAGGUGCUACCUGCUGCUCCCUGGGGAGAAGACUUGAGCUCCAGUGAUGGCAAGAACAAGGAUUCAGGCUCAUUUUGAUGAGCUCUCUCUCCCCUGUGUCCCUCUCCUUGGAGCCAGGGAAGUGACGCUGGGGAGGAACUUGGCCCCUCUUGUUUGUUAUUACAGGAUAAAGUUACCCUUUAAAGCAGAGCCAGUGCUGUCAGGGCUGCAUAC